RNAcentral lists this ribosomal RNA (253 nucleotides) under uncultured bacterium. RNAcentral describes it as "partial 16S ribosomal RNA". It matches the Rfam family "Bacterial small subunit ribosomal RNA", at positions 524 to 776 of the family's 1533-position model. The record is from RNAcentral.
UACGAAGGGGGCUAGUGUUGUUCGGAAUUACUGGGCGUAAAGCGCACGUAGGCGGAUUUGUAAGUCAGGGGUGAAAUCCCGGGGCUCAACCUCGGAACUGCCUUUGAUACUGCAAGUCUUGAGUCCGAUAGAGGUGAGUGGAAUUCCUAGUGUAGAGGUGAAAUUCGUAGAUAUUAGGAAGAACACCAGUGGCGAAGGCGGCUCACUGGAUCGGUACUGACGCUGAGGUGCGAAAGCGUGGGUAGCAAACAGG